Molecule: long non-coding RNA, 333 nt
Organism: Lagopus leucura (white-tailed ptarmigan)
Lineage: Eukaryota; Metazoa; Chordata; Aves; Galliformes; Phasianidae
Exons: 3
Source: RefSeq, a predicted model, not a curated record
GCUGGAAUCUCUACUGAAAAAUGAGAGCAAGCUCAAAACCAACAUGUUUUGCUGUGGUCAGUUGAACGUUCCUGAGGAAGUUUGUUCCAUCAUCAAUGUAACAUCCCCAAGAGAGCUGUCCCUAGUCAUCAUUGGGCCCUGUUGUUGACAGUGGAGAGCCCAGUUCUGCCAGAGUGCUGGAGACCCUCUGCUCCAUGUCUAAGGAAGAGUGGAGGACAGGCAACAUCACGCCGUGUACAGAAGCAGACAAAGCAGCUCCAGCCUGUGUGUCAGAGCUGCCAUCCACCUCAUGUGAACACCUACUGGGAAAUUCGGACCACCUGGGGAGGUAGC